GGGUAAGUACUCAAGUGGUGAAGAGGCGUCCCUGCUAAGGAUGUAGGCGGUUAUGCCGCGCGGAGGUUCGAAUCCUCUCUUACCCGCCA
This 89-nucleotide transfer RNA is filed under the name Mollicutes bacterium PWAP. RNAcentral describes it as "tRNA-Ser". It matches the Rfam family "tRNA". From Rfam's summary of the family: Transfer RNA (tRNA) molecules are approximately 80 nucleotides in length. Lineage: Bacteria; Bacillati; Mycoplasmatota; Mollicutes. The record is from RNAcentral.